RNAcentral lists this ribosomal RNA (253 nucleotides) under uncultured bacterium. RNAcentral's name for it is "partial 16S ribosomal RNA". It matches the Rfam family "Bacterial small subunit ribosomal RNA", at positions 524 to 776 of the family's 1533-position model. The record is from RNAcentral.
UACGUAGGGUGCAAGCGUUGUCCGGAAUUAUUGGGCGUAAAGGGUGCGUAGGCGGGUCUUUAAGUCAGGGGUGAAAUCCUGGAGCUCAACUCCAGAACUGCCUUUGAUACUGAAGAUCUUGAGUUCGGGAGAGGUGAGUGGAACUGCGAGUGUAGAGGUGAAAUUCGUAGAUAUUCGCAAGAACACCAGUGGCGAAGGCGGCUCACUGGCCCGAUACUGACGCUGAAGCACGAAAGCGUGGGGAGCAAACAGG